Tupaia belangeri (northern tree shrew) is the source of this 126-nucleotide small nucleolar RNA. Lineage: Eukaryota; Metazoa; Chordata; Mammalia; Scandentia; Tupaiidae. The record is from Ensembl.
AGUACUUGAAUUUGUUUUUGUUUACCUUAUAGACAAAGACACAGAAAAAUGCAAAAACUAAAUCCUCUUUUGCAACUCAGAACUCAUUGUUUAGAAUGACUUUUGAUACACAUAAGAAGGAAUAUU